CAGCCGUAAACGAUGCGCGUUAGGUGUACCGACGACCACGAGUCGUCGAGGUGCCGAAGGGAAACCGUGAAACGUGCCGCCUGGGAAGUACGGUCGCAAGGCUGAAACUUAAAGGAAUUGGCGGGGGAGCACCACAACAGGUGGAGCCUGCGGUUUAAUUGGACUCAACGCCGGAAAUCUCACCGGAUAAGACAGCAGAAUGAUUGCCGGGCUGAAGACUCUGCAUGACUAGCUGAGAGGAGGUGCAUGGCGUAGUCGUGU
This 261-nucleotide ribosomal RNA is filed under the name uncultured archaeon. Its description in RNAcentral is "partial 16S ribosomal RNA". It matches the Rfam family "Archaeal small subunit ribosomal RNA", at positions 748 to 1009 of the family's 1478-position model. The record is from RNAcentral.